Molecule: transfer RNA, 77 nt
Filed under: marine sediment metagenome
Description: tRNA-Ile
Rfam family: tRNA
About the family: Transfer RNA (tRNA) molecules are approximately 80 nucleotides in length.
Source: RNAcentral
UGGGGUGUGGCUUACCGGUAAAAGCGCCGAGCUGAUAUCUCGGAGACAGGCGGGUUCGACUCCCCCGACCCCAACCA